Molecule: ribosomal RNA, 491 nt
Filed under: uncultured bacterium
Lineage: Bacteria
Description: partial 16S ribosomal RNA
Rfam family: Bacterial small subunit ribosomal RNA
Source: RNAcentral
AGUGAACGCUGGCGGUAGGCCUAACACAUGCAAGUCGAACGGCAGCACAGUAAGAGCUUGCUCUUACGGGUGGCGAGUGGCGGACGGGUGAGGAAUACAUCGGAAUCUACUUUUUCGUGGGGGAUAACGUAGGGAAACUUACGCUAAUACCGCAUACGACCUACGGGUGAAAGCAGGGGAUCUUCGGACCUUGCGCGAUUGAAUGAGCCGAUGUCGGAUUAGCUAGUUGGCGGGGUAAAGGCCCACCAAGGCGACGAUCCGUAGCUGGUCUGAGAGGAUGAUCAGCCACACUGGAACUGAGACAGGGUCCAGACCCCCACGGGGGGAAGAAGUGGGGAAUAUGGGAAAAGGGGCGCAAGCCUGACCCAGCCAUACCGCGGGGGUGAAGAAGGCCUUCGGGUUGUAAAGCCCUUUUGUGGGGAAAAAAAAGCAGCAGGUUAAAACCCCGCUGUUCUGACGGUACCCAAAGAAAAAACCCCGGCGAACUUCGG